GGAUGAUAUUUAGGCUAAAUGGCAGCCCUUACUAGGAAGGUAGAGCAAAUUGAACUUAGAAGGAUUGAACCCGUCAAGACUGUAGAACAUAACAGCGAGUGUUGUAGGAUUUGUGAGAUGCCUGGCCAUCUCACCACUGAUUGCCCCACAAUACCCGUAUUCAAGGAAGUCUUGCACGAUCAGGCCAAUGUUAUGAAUACAUAUCAAAAUUUUUUUAAUAAUCUUUUUUCGGGUACUUCAACUCUGGAUGGAAGAACCAUCCAAAUUUCAGGUGGAGGAAUGACCAACCUCAACAAGUAUAUAAUCCAACUCCUCCGCCUCUGCAAACUCAUUAUGCACUCACACCCCCUCAAA
This 354-nucleotide long non-coding RNA is filed under the name Phoenix dactylifera (date palm). RNAcentral's name for it is "long non-coding RNA (PDAC_LNC010336)". The record is from RNAcentral. Lineage: Eukaryota; Viridiplantae; Streptophyta; Magnoliopsida; Arecales; Arecaceae.